UUGACCCUACGGGAGGCAGCAGUGGGGAAUAUUGCACAAUGGGGGAAACCCUGAUGCAGCGACGCCGCGUGAGCGAUGAAGUAUUUCGGUAUGUAAAGCUCUAUCAGCAGGGAAGAAAAUGACGGUACCUGACUAAGAAGCCCCGGCUAACUACGUGCCAGCAGCCGCGGUAAUACGUAGGGGGCAAGCGUUAUCCGGAUUUACUGGGUGUAAAGGGCGUGUAGGCGGGCAUGCAAGCCAGAAGUGAAAUCUGGGGGCUUAACCCCCAAACUGCUUUUGGAACUGCGUGUCUUGAGUGAUGGAGG
Molecule: ribosomal RNA, 305 nt
Filed under: uncultured bacterium
Lineage: Bacteria
Description: bacterial SSU rRNA
Rfam family: Bacterial small subunit ribosomal RNA
Source: RNAcentral